GACGAACGCUGGCGGCGUGCUUAACACAUGCAAGUCGAACGGUAAGGCCCUUCGGGGUACACGAGUGGCGAACGGGCGAGUAACCCGUGGGUGCGCUGCCCUGCACUUCGGGAUAAGCCGGGGAAACUCGGUCUAAUACCGGAUAGGACAACUGACUGCAAGGGUGGGGGUGGAAAGCUUUUGCGGUGUGGGAUGGGCCCGCAGCCUAUCAGCUUGUUGGUGGGGUGAUGGCCUACCAAGGCGACGACGGGUAGCCGGCCAGAGAGGGUGACAGGCCACACUGGGACUGAGAUACGGCCCAGACUCCUACGGGAGGCAGCAGUGGGGAAUAUUGCACAAUGGGCGCAGGCCUGAUGCAGCGACGCCGAGUGAGGGAUGACGGCCUUCGGGUUGUAAACCUCUUUCAGCACCGACGAAGCGCAAGUGACGGUAGGUGCAGAAGAAGGACCGGCCAACUACGUGCCAGCCGCCGCCGUAA
This 478-nucleotide ribosomal RNA is filed under the name uncultured bacterium. Its description in RNAcentral is "partial 16S ribosomal RNA". It matches the Rfam family "Bacterial small subunit ribosomal RNA", at positions 28 to 523 of the family's 1533-position model. The record is from RNAcentral.